RNAcentral lists this long non-coding RNA (321 nucleotides) under Volvox carteri. RNAcentral describes it as "long non-coding RNA (VCAR_LNC003891)". Lineage: Eukaryota; Viridiplantae; Chlorophyta; Chlorophyceae; Chlamydomonadales; Volvocaceae. The record is from RNAcentral.
CGCACUCUGUGCGUAUUUAUAGCACCGUACUGUGUACCGGCUGCUACAUUCCCCCCCUUUGAAGGGAACCGUCCCGGGCCCUUAGAGCCUCGUAUACCGCCAGCCUGUGCCUACCUUCGCCUACCCUCGGGCAGUGGGUACUUACUCCACGUCACGUCAUGUGCCGGCUCACAUGCGCCUAGCCGUCUUCAGGUUUUUCAGGCACAGAGACAGUCCAGUCGGUUCAGCUACUUUUAUAAUUUCCGAUUUCCACUCAAGCGUGAUUGGUGGGGUUUGAACCGACGACUUCAGGAUCGUGAAUUUUCACGAGGUCUCGAUACC